RNAcentral lists this ribosomal RNA (1360 nucleotides) under Arthrobacter sp. AG1(2014). Its description in RNAcentral is "bacterial SSU rRNA". It matches the Rfam family "Bacterial small subunit ribosomal RNA", at positions 73 to 1446 of the family's 1533-position model. The record is from RNAcentral. Lineage: Bacteria; Bacillati; Actinomycetota; Actinomycetes; Micrococcales; Micrococcaceae.
GCCCAGCUUGCUGGAUGGAUUAGUGACGAACGGGUGAGUAACACCUGAGUAACCUGCCCCCGACUCUGACAUAACCCCGGGAAACUGGGUCUAAUACCGGAUAUGACCUCGCACCGCAUGGUGCGGGGUGGAAAGAUUUAUCGGUGGGGGAUGGACUCGCGGCCUAUCAGCUUGUUGGUGAGGUAAUGGCUCACCAAGGCGACGACGGGUAGCCGGCCUGAGAGGGUGACCGGCCAACUGGGACUGAGACACGGCCCAUACCCCUACGGGAGGCAGCAGUGGGGAAUAUUGCACAAUGGGCGCAAGCCUGAUGCAGCGACGCCGCGUGAGGGAUGACGGCCUUCGGGUUGUAAACCUCUUUCAGUAGGGAAGAAGCGAAAGUGACGGUACCUGCAGAAGAAGCGCCGGCUAACUACGUGCCAGCAGCCGCGGUAAUACGUAGGGCGCAAGCGUUAUCCGGAUUUAUUGGGCGUAAAGAGCUCGUAGGCGGUUUGUCGCGUCUGCCGUGAAAGUCCGAGGCUCAACCUCGGAUCUGCGGUGGGUACGGGCAGACUAGAGUGAUGUAGGGGAGACUGGAAUUCCUGGUGUAGCGGUGAAAUGCGCAGAUAUCAGGAGGAACACCGAUGGCGAAGGCAGGUCUCUGGGCAUUUACUGACGCUGAGGAGCGAAAGCAUGGGGAGCGAACAGGAUUAGAUACCCUGGUAGUCCAUGCCGUAAACGUUGGGCACUAGGUGUGGGGGACAUUCCACGUUUUCCGCGCCGUAGCUAACGCAUUAAGUGCCCCGCCUGGGGAGUACGGCCGCAAGGCUAAAACUCAAAGGAAUUGACGGGGGCCCGCACAAGCGGCGGAGCAUGCGGAUUAAUUCGAUGCAACGCGAAGAACCUUACCAAGGCUUGACAUGUGCCAGACCGCUCCAGAGAUGGGGUUUCCCUUCGGGGCUGGUUCACAGGUGGUGCAUGGUUGUCGUCAGCUCGUGUCGUGAGAUGUUGGGUUAAGUCCCGCAACGAGCGCAACCCUCGUUCCAUGUUGCCAGCACGUAGUGGUGGGGACUCAUGGGAGACUGCCGGGGUCAACUCGGAGGAAGGUGGGGAUGACGUCAAAUCAUCAUGCCCCUUAUGUCUUGGGCUUCACGCAUGCUACAAUGGCCGGUACAAUGGGUUGCGAUACUGUGAGGUGGAGCUAAUCCCUAAAAGCCGGUCUCAGUUCGGAUUGGGGUCUGCAACUCGACCCCAUGAAGUCGGAGUCGCUAGUAAUCGCAGAUCAGCAACGCUGCGGUGAAUACGUUCCCGGGCCUUGUACACACCGCCCGUCAAGUCACGAAAGUUGGUAACACCCGAAGCCGAUGGCCUAACCACCUUG